Alligator mississippiensis (American alligator) is the source of this 46-nucleotide non-coding RNA. The record is from Rfam. Lineage: Eukaryota; Metazoa; Chordata; Crocodylia; Alligatoridae.
UUAAUGGCUUUUUUUAAAGCUAUUCAUGAUUUCAUCACAUAUUUAU